Molecule: long non-coding RNA, 218 nt
Filed under: Vigna radiata
Lineage: Eukaryota; Viridiplantae; Streptophyta; Magnoliopsida; Fabales; Fabaceae
Description: long non-coding RNA (VRAD_LNC015367)
Source: RNAcentral
GGGGAAAUUGGAAAAACAUUGACCUCAAAUGUUGAGAAAGAAAAAUGCAUAAGAAAAAGAAAAGAAAAGAAGAAAAGCAUGAAGAUAAGCUCAAUGUAAAAAUUAAAAGAAAAGGGAAGAAGCUGGGAAUAAGUGAGAUUGGUGAGGAAGAGAGUUGUGCUUGAAUUUUAAACAAUUUUGUAGCUCUCUAAACUCAAGAAUUUUGCAUUCCAGAAAAA